This is an RNA transcript of Abrus precatorius (Indian licorice), 1678 nucleotides long. It is a transcript of the gene named ubiquitin-like modifier-activating enzyme 5, with no coding region annotated. Lineage: Eukaryota; Viridiplantae; Streptophyta; Magnoliopsida; Fabales; Fabaceae. The record is from RefSeq and is a predicted model, not a curated record. The transcript has 14 exons.
AAACAAAAGACAUGCAAUAGAACCAGGGAAGAAAAUUUGCGAGUGGAGCGAUUGCCUGCACACAGUAACUGGAGGUAGUUCUGACUACGGCGGAAGCAUUAAAAACAUUGCUUUAAGACUUUGAAUGCAGAUUCCAACUAUCCACAGAAACACACAAUCGCAGAGAACAGAAAAGGCGUUUGGAAAAAUCAAUUAAUUCGGGGCCGACAUGGAAGUCGAACUCAAAGAGUUGCUCGCCGAUCUUCAAUCUUUGAGCCAAUCGCUUCCCGAUCCAUCUCAUCAUGCUUCGCUCCAUAAGAUUCAAUUGCGUGUUGAGCAUAUUUCGAAUCUUGCAACGGCUGCACCUGUUCGACGCUCUAAAGUUGAGGAUAUGAGUGCUGAGGUUGUAGAUAGCAAUCCUUAUAGUCGGCUUAUGGCACUUCAGAGGAUGGGAAUUGUGGAGAACUAUGAAAGAAUACGCGAUUUCUCAGUUGCCAUAGUUGGAAUAGGUGGUGUUGGAAGUGUUGCAGCUGAGAUGCUAACUAGAUGCGGUAUAGGUCGGCUUCUGUUGUAUGAUUAUGACAAAGUGGAGCUUGCAAAUAUGAAUAGGCUUUUCUUCCGUCCAGAUCAGGUUGGUAUGACAAAGACUGAUGCAGCUGUGCAGACUCUUUCAGAAAUUAACCCUGAUGUUGUGCUUGAAAGCUAUACACUGAAUAUCACCACCAUCUCAGGUUUUGAAACCUUUAUGUCAAGUUUGAAAAAUAAAUCCUUUCGCUCAAGUAAACAAGGGAGUGGUGUGGAUCUGGUCUUAAGUUGUGUGGAUAAUUACGAAGCAAGAAUGGCUGUUAACCAGGCUUGUAAUGAACUGAGCCAAACAUGGAUGGAGUCAGGUGUUUCUGAGGAUGCUGUUUCUGGCCAUAUUCAAUUACUUAUCCCUGGUGAAACUGCCUGUUUUGCAUGUGCACCUCCUCUGGUUGUUGCAUCUGGGGUAGAUGAACGGACACUCAAGCGUGAAGGGGUUUGUGCUGCAUCUUUACCAACCACUAUGGGUGUGGUUGCUGGUCUUCUAGUCCAAAACACACUAAAAUUAUUGUUAGGUUUUGGACAAGUCUCUCCGUAUUUGGGAUAUAACUCUCUAAAGGAUUUUUUCCCAACUAUGCAAAUGAAGCCAAACCCUCAAUGUUCAAAUGUAGCAUGCUUGAAAAGACAGGUAAUUUGUUUAUGUUUGGAAUUUUGGAAAAAAAUGACAGGACGAAUACAUGCUUGCAAAACCAGCAAGAGAUGCUGCAGCCAAAGCAAGAAGGGAAGCUGAAGCACAAACAACUGAGGAAGGGCCACUUCACCAAGAUAAUGAAUGGAAUAUAAGUGUUGUUGAUGAUGCUGAGCUGGAUGGUCCAGAUACCAGAAGUUCAGAUGCUCUGCCGGAAGGUCUCACACAUGAACUUCCUAUUGCAGACGAGUUUCAAAAGGCAACUCCUGAAACUCCAAUAGUUGAUAAUGAUGACCUCGAGGACCUUCGUAGGCAACUUGAUGCCAUUAAUUCUGUGUAGUGACAGCUAAUUAAGUUUCCGCUAUUCUUUUAAAAAAAUAACAUUUGGAUAUCAAUUGUUCAAGAGAGCCGGUUUAACUCAAACAAUUGUUUUAGUUGGUUUGUUUAGUUAUAUAUCUUGCACUUUUCAGAAAGCCGCUCCUAAAUAUA